GUACCCUCUUCAGUAAUACACAUACAAGAACCGGAAUGAUACAGAGAAGAUUAGCAUGACCCCUGUGCAAGAAUGACAUGCAAAUUCACAAAGCAUUCCAUAUUUUA
Ictidomys tridecemlineatus (thirteen-lined ground squirrel) is the source of this 107-nucleotide small nuclear RNA. The record is from Ensembl. NCBI's taxonomy places the organism in Eukaryota, Metazoa, Chordata, Mammalia, Rodentia, Sciuridae.